RNAcentral lists this ribosomal RNA (491 nucleotides) under uncultured bacterium. RNAcentral describes it as "partial 16S ribosomal RNA". It matches the Rfam family "Bacterial small subunit ribosomal RNA", at positions 29 to 507 of the family's 1533-position model. The record is from RNAcentral.
GUGCACGCUGGCGGUAGGCCUAACACCUGCCAGUCGAACGGCAGCACCGUAAGAGCUUGCUCUUACGGGUGGCGAGUGGCGGACGGGUGAGGAAUACAUCGGAAUCUACUUUUUCGUGGGGGAUAACGUAGGGAAACUUACGCUAAUACCGCAUACGACCUACGGGUGAAAGCAGGGGAUCUUCGGACCUUGCGCGGUUGAAUGAGCCGAUGUCGGAUUAGCUAGUUGGCGGGGUAAAGGCCCACCAAGGCGACGAUCCGUAGCUGGUCUGAGAGGAUGAUCAGCCACACUGGAACUGAGACACGGUCCAGACUCCUACGGGAGGCAGCAGUGGGGAAUAUUGGACAAUGGGCGCAAGCCUGAUCCAGCCAUACCGCGUGGGUGAAGAAGGCCUUCGGGUUGUAAAGCCCUUUUGUUGGGAAAGAAAAGCAGCAGGUUAAUACCCCGCUGUUCUGACGGUACCCAAAGAAUAAGCACCGGCUAACUUCGUG